CCCUUAGAUGUCCGGGGCUGCACGCGCGCUACACUGAAGGAAUCAGCGUGCUAAAACCAUUGUCGAAAGGCAUUGGUAAACCCAUUAAAAUCCUACGUGAUUGGGAUCGGGAAUUGCAAUUAUUUCCCUUGAACGAGGAAUUCCCAGUAAGUGUGGAUCAUAAGCUCGCGUUGAUUACGUCCCUGCCCUUUGUACACACCGCCCGUCGCUGCCCGGGACUGAGCCGUUUCGAGAAAAGCGGGGACUGCUGCUGUCGGGGCUUUCGGGCCUUGGCUUCGGUGGAAACCGCUUUAAUCGCAGUGGCUUGAACCGGGCAAAAGUCGUANCA
Molecule: ribosomal RNA, 328 nt
Filed under: uncultured eukaryote
Lineage: Eukaryota
Description: partial 18S ribosomal RNA
Rfam family: Eukaryotic small subunit ribosomal RNA
Source: RNAcentral